Molecule: ribosomal RNA, 762 nt
Filed under: marine CFB-group bacterium SY038
Lineage: Bacteria; Pseudomonadati; Bacteroidota
Description: bacterial SSU rRNA
Rfam family: Bacterial small subunit ribosomal RNA
Source: RNAcentral
AGGGGCAGCGGGGAAAAGCUUGCUUUUCCGCCGGCGACCGGCGCACGGGUGCGCACCGCGUAUGGAACCUGCCUUGUACAGGGGAAUAGCCCAGGGAAACUUGGAUUAAUGCCCCGUAGUACCGUAUUUCGGCAUCGUUAUACGGUUAAAGCCUUCGGGCGGUACAAGAUGGCCNUGCNUNCCCAUUAGCUUGUUGGUAAGGUAACGGCUUACCAAGGCUACGAUGGGUAGGGGCCCUGAGAGGGGGAUCCCCCACACUGGUACUGAGACACGGACCAGACUCCUACGGGAGGCAGCAGUGAGGAAUAUUGGACAAUGGAGGAGACUCUGAUCCAGCCAUGCCGCGUGCAGGAAGAAUGCCCUAUGGGUAGUAAACUGCUUUUAUACGGGAAGAAAAAGAGCUACGUGUAGCUUACUGACGGUACCGUAAGAAUAAGGACCGGCUAACUCCGUGCCAGCAGCCGCGGUAAUACGGAGGGUCCGAGCGUUAUCCGGAAUUAUUGGGUUUAAAGGGUCCGUAGGCGGGCCGAUAAGUCAGGGGUGAAAGUCUGCCGCUCAACGGUAGAACUGCCUUUGAUACUGUCGGUCUUGAGUUAUAGUGAAGUUGCCGGAAUAUGUAGUGUAGCGGUGAAAUGCAUAGAUAUUACAUAGAACACCGAUUGCGAAGGCAGGUGACUAACUAUAUACUGACGCUGAUGGACGAAAGCGUGGGGAGCGAACAGGAUUAGAUACCCUGGUAGUCCACGCCGUNNNGAUGGAUAC